GGCAAAAGCUCAAAUUUGAAAUCUGGCACCUUCGGUGUCCGAGUUGUAAUUUGAAGAAGGUAACUUUGGAGUUGGCUCUUGUCUAUGUUCCUUGGAACAGGACGUCACAGAGGGUGAGAAUCCCGUGCGAUGAGAUGCCCAAUUCUAUGUAAAGUGCUUUCGAAGAGUCGAGUUGUUUGGGAAUGCAGCUCUAAGUGGGUGGUAAAUUCCAUCUAAAGCUAAAUAUUGGCGAGAGACCGAUAGCGAACAAGUACAGUGAUGGAAAGAUGAAAAGAACUUUGAAAAGAGAGUGAAAAAGUACGUGAAAUUGUUGAAAGGGAAGGGCUUGAGAUCAGACUUGGUAUUUUGCGAUCCUUUCCUUCUUGGUUGGGUUCCUCGCAGCUUACUGGGCCAGCAUCGGUUUGGAUGGUAGGAUAAUGACUAAGGAAUGUGGCUCUACUUCGGUGGAGUGUUAUAGCCUUGGUUGAUACUGCCUGUCUAGACCGAGGACUGCGUCUUUUGACUAGGAUGUUGGCAUAAUGAUCUUAAGCCACCCGUCUU
Molecule: ribosomal RNA, 540 nt
Filed under: Debaryomyces hansenii
Lineage: Eukaryota; Fungi; Ascomycota; Pichiomycetes; Serinales; Debaryomycetaceae
Description: eukaryotic LSU rRNA
Rfam family: Eukaryotic large subunit ribosomal RNA
Source: RNAcentral